ACGUUUCUUGUUGUUUUCUGCAACAAAAAAAGUAAAAUAAAAUCUGUAUAUCACGUGCUAGCAGCUAAAUUAGCAACUUUAGAAAACUAAUCAUGUAAUACAAUGAUGAAGCUUUACUUUAAUUCUACUGAAAGCUACAGAAACAUGGCAUUUGGGCACCAAAAUAGGAGAGCCCCCAACCUGAACAUACAAAUGCAAUAAAUCUGGCAUCCUCUACCCAAAAUAUAAAUAUCUAUUUAGUAACACCAACAAAGAUUCAAAUAUCAUAUAAAUUUAGAGUAAAUAUAUCACGUUCCUGAAACUGAAAGUAGUUUUCAAUUGUCAACAGUUUCAAAAUUUUCAUCCGAUUAGUGUUUUUUCUAUACAAAGUUAAAGUUCAUAUAUCAUCUCCAAUAUACAAAGUCUCAGAAUUAUUCAAACCAUGCUUCAGGUGCUUUCCAAAUCUUUGCCAUUCUUUUUAAUACAGAGAAUGCAAUUACUGUAUCACACGCUAUUGAUAAGUAUGCAUAUUCAUAAAUAAGGUAGAGAUAACAGAGAAAAAUUGUCAAACAUUAAAAGAUCAGUGCAUUACCUAUGAAUAUACCAUCAUAUCAAACAUAAAUAAUCAGAAUUAGCACAAUCUACAGUACCUUUCAAAACAGAAGUGCAUCCAAAUAUGAUCGAUAAGAUCUGAAAUGAAUAAAGUAAGUAAAUGCGUAAUCAACAAAAGCUAAAACAACAUGACUAUUUCAAAACUGACAUCUUCAAAAUGGUAAAAGAAAUUUGAUGCGCUACCAUCUAAAAGAGAACAAUAGACCCGGGAAUAUCAAUCUAUACCUAAUAGGAAGAACAUAAAGGAAAAAAUGAAAGCCAAUAGAAGAGCAAUACUUGCCGGAGUCUGAAAUGCUGAACACACGUAGGUAUAACUAUCACAACAUAGUGAAACUGAAAUAAAAAAGAUUAAACAUCAGUAAUAUACAGGCGUAGAUAAAGAAGAUGGAGAAAUGUUCAAAACUACAUCAAUAAAUAAAUGAAAAUAGAAGUGCAACAGAAAAAUCAGGGAGAAAAGCAAGCAAAACAUUACUGCAAUAAAGAUACCAUAUCGUGAAUAAAAGUUUGAUAUUGAAUUCACAUACAGCAAAUUGAAUCUUAAGAUAUUUCUGGCAAAAGAUGGAAUACCGGAUGGAGAGAUCUAAAGAGAAUCUCAUUUCCUUGCAAUUUAUUUUGUAUUUUGAGCCUUUCCAAUAACUUAUUUUAUUUAUUUGGGUUCCUUCACCUUAUAAUUAGGGAAGGGGCUGGUUUAGAAGACAUUCUGUAUAGAUAUAGAAAACAACUGAGGAUACUCAAAGACUUGCAAAACGUAGGUGAAAUUAUAUCACAAGCACAAUACACUACUGAAACCACUUCCUAUAUUAGAUCAUUUUACCACUGACUCUAAUUCUUCGAGAAAUUGCAAGAAAAUAAACAUAUCUCUUGAAAUUAAAUUAGAAUUUAAAAGGAAACAAUCACAGUAAUGUAAGUUGAUGUUUCCCAGUAAUUUAGACCACGAAGAGGAAAACUACGAACUUACCCUAGGAGAAAUAUCAAUGUUGGAGUCUCAAUUUGAACCCUUCGACAUCAAACCUGGCAAUUAUCGUACAAUUUUCUCUGUUUAGUUGGUACUUGAGAAUACCUAGAACACAAAACUCGAUUUCAAAUCCAUAAUUUGAAAAAUAAACACAUAUUAUCAAUUUCCAGCAAAAUAUUACAGCUAAUAUACACAAGACCAAAUCAACA
RNAcentral lists this long non-coding RNA (1755 nucleotides) under Nicotiana tabacum (common tobacco). RNAcentral's name for it is "long non-coding RNA (NTAB_LNC005742)". The record is from RNAcentral. Lineage: Eukaryota; Viridiplantae; Streptophyta; Magnoliopsida; Solanales; Solanaceae.